CUCCGGGGUCAAGGCCCCAAGGGGGGGGCGGAGGAGGGGCCGGGGACCCCCAGGGGUUUUGACUCUUGGGUAAACAGGCGCAGGGGUGGGGUUAACUCUGUGGAGGUGGAGUAGGGGCUUGGGGAGGACGCAGUGUCCCGGGCUGGGACCCAAGAGACCCUGUGGCUUCAGUGCUAACCCCUUCUAGUCUGGCCCAGAGAAGGAGGGUGAGACCAGCUCGGCCCGGCGGAAUCGCAUUGCCCAGGAGAUGGUUUCUCAGGGACUGCUGCCUCUCUUAGGGCCUGGGAGCCUGAAGCUCAUCCAUCUGUAUGGUUUCCAGCCAGAGAAAAGGCCAAAGAGAAACCCCUUCUGAAAGAAGAAAGAACACAGUUAGAAAAAACGGAAUAAAAUUAUAGCAUUACUUUUAAAAAAAAGGUUGGGAGUGGGGGAAGGAAUUCCCUGGCUGUCCAGUGCUUACUCAGUGCCUUCACGGCUGGGGCUGGGUUCAACCCCUGGUUGGGGAACUAAGUUUCCACAAGCCACACGGGGGGCCAAAAAAAGAAAGAAACAAAGAAAAGAAGAAAAAAAAAAAGGAACAUCCUUGACCUGUACAGAAAAUUAUCUGGAAGAUUAAUUUUAGAGUCUGAGACUCACCCUCACCCUGACCCACCCAGAUGUGUGACCCUCCAAGGCCCAUGCUCUUUCCAUGUAGAGCCCAGCACUGGAAGCCAUUUACAGUUCAUACUGCACCCAGUCUGCCAAAGCCAGUGGGAUUCUCCAUGUUGGUCAUUAACUCGGGCCUGGAGACUAGAAAAAAGGACGAUGUUGGACUGAUGUCAACCUGUUUCCAUUAACUCCUUUCCUGAGCUCUCCUCAACUUUUGUUGAGGGACAGAGCAUAAGGCAAUUUGACCAAGACCCAGAGGACUGGGUCAGGCAGGGCUGAAACGAUGAGGGAAACUUGAUCACCUGCAGAGACCAGGAGGUUGGCAACAUGCUCAAAGCAGCAUGCAAGUCUCCCCAGCCAGCCGGCUCCCACAGAUCUGCACACACUUACAUACAGAGCCUGGGAAGGGUCAGACGCCAUCCAGGCAGUCUCAGUCCUCCCUUCCCCUCCUCCCUCACUCCCGAGUCUCCCGCCCUACUGUCCUCCCCCACCUCCAGUUGACCAUGGCAUCGGAAGCAGAAAGAACAUUCCAGCGGUUUGCUGUCUUUGGAGAAUCAUCAAGCAGUGGCACGGAAAUGAACAACAAGAACUUCUCCAAGAUGUGCAAAGACUGUGGCAUUAUGGAUGGCAAGACGGUCACCUCCACGGACGUGGACAUUGUGUUCAGCAAAGUCAAGGCCAAGAAUGCCCGAACCAUCACAUUCCAACAGUUCCAGGAAGCAAUGAAGGAACUGGGCCAGAAGCGGUUCAAGGGGAAAAGCCCAGAUGAAGCCCUGGAGAACAUUUAUAGACUCAUGGAGGGCAAGGACCCAGCUACCACCAGUGCUACUAAAGCAACAACGGUGGGAGGGGUGAGCCGGCUGACAGACACCAGCAAGUACACAGGCACCCACAAGGAGCGCUUUGACGAGAGUGGCAAGGGCAAAGGCAUCGCGGGACGGGAAGACGUGACCCACAACUCAGGCUACUGAUUAUAGAUUCACAGGCAGAUGCAAAAAGUACAGAGAGGUCCCAUGUACCCUUCAGCCAGUUUCAUCCAAUGGUCAUAUCUUACAUAAUUCAGAUACAGAAGGUUUUAAAACCUUCUGUGACUACAGCUGGGCCCACUUCACCUCUGCCUUGUUAGAGGCAGGUUCUGGAGUUUGGGGGAUGUUAGGAGCAGCUUUGGAAAGGAAAAGGACGCAGGAAUCUUUAGGGUAACAGGUCAAAGAUAAACUUGAAACUCCAGUGAACCAAGGUGAGAAGGUUGGAAGGAAAAGAGGUCAGAGAAAAAAUAAAGGGUGACUAAAGAGGUUGGGAGCGUAAGGGAGAGACUGCACUGGGCUCCAUGGUGGAAGGAGGGUGGAAAGGACAGGUUACCUGAAGAGGGAAUCAGUGAUUCCAUAGAGAGGAGCAGACAGAGAGCUGAGUUGAGGCAGGUGGGGGGUGCUGGAGAAAUGAAGAUAAUGUGAGUCUAAGACUCUCAGGGAGGUUCCUAUAGCUAGAGAUACCCACCAUGUGGGCGAGCUAGUGGAGGGAAUCAUAAGGGAAAUGGGGAGGACUGAGAAGGGAAGGGUGGCAGGGAUGCGGAUUUGAGACUCGGAACUGGUGCCAUGGUGUAAGCUGAGGCUCUGGGCCUCCAGCCAGGGUUCAGGAUCUGGCCCAGUAGAUGAACAGUCACUGCCAACUGGACACAGUCAGCUUCUUGGGUGGGUAAAACUGUCUGUGGGAGAGGGAGGAUGGUAGCUGGGAUGAUGGGGGGAAGUAAACAAUUAGAAAGAGCCUAGAAAACAGUACAGCUUUGCAUGGAGACUAAAGCUCUGGACAUAUUUCCUACCUCCCAGUCUCUUGGGAGGGGACCCUGCCUACCUGUGAAGCCAGGAAGGAAGCCUUGUACCAGGGAUCAGAACUUCAGGAGUGAGGACAGGCUGGUCUGUAGUGGCGGUGGUGGGGCGAUUCAGACUGAAUGCCUCCCUUCCCUAGAACAGGCCAAUGAUACCUAUUGGUUCAGCAUCAUACUUUUGGGAGCAGAGCAGAUAGAGCCUUUGGUUGGUGAGGGUGCUAGUGUAGCGGCAGCUGGUGGGAGGCUGUUGGGAUUUCAGGGAGCAGAUUGUGAGGGGAAAGGAGUCCUGGGUGAGUGUACAGUAUUGGUUGUAAUUCUCACAGAAGCUCUCGCUGUACUUGCAGAACUUCUUGAUGGUGGUCCAAGGGGCAUGUAAGACAUAGUGGAUCUUUGGGCAAUACCAGCUUUGUUGUCUGCCUCGUAUGUAAGACAUCAUACCAUUGCAGUAGCCCUGGAAACCCUCUGCAAAGUCAGCCUUGGGAUAGUUGAUGUGUAAGGUACGGAAGUUCUUGAUGGCAAGCUGUAGCUUGAUAUUUUCGACCAAAGCUGGCCCUAGAACAAGCUGGAGGAAAAGGAGCUGGGCCACGGGUGAUGCCAUUCUUCCUGCUGGCAGAGUUAAGGUGGUUGGAGGCAGAGGUGGACCGGGAGUGACUGUCCGCCCCUUCCCAGCGCUUCCAGUGUGCCCCUACCCUUCCCUGUGCGCCUUCCCCUAUACCCUCAAAGCCGGACUGUCCUUCGGAGAUCAUCUGGCCCAAGUCCUCAUGUCUCAGAGAGAGGAGACAUUUGCCCAAGGUCACCCAGCUAGUCAGCCACCUCUAGCCAUUCCCCGCCCCCCCCUUAGGGUCUCAGCCUCACCCAGUCCGGGAGCUGUGACACUUACGAAAUACGAGGUCCAACCAGUCCUUGGGUGAGAGCCUCUUCCCAGUUAUCCCUGGCCUGGUUAAUCCCUCUGGGAAAAAUGCAGAGGGUCCGGAAGGGACAGGCUCAGCCACACUUCUCUGACUGAAGCUGAGGAAGGACCGGAGCUGGAAGGCAGCAGCGCAAGAGUGGGGCUCUUCCUGCCUGAGGCCAAGGAGAGCCCAAAGGCCCUGCUCCCACGGAAGGGUGACGAGGAAAGCACUGUCAUGUAUCUGAGGAACAAAGUGCUGCUUACUCCUGACCCUCAGAGAACAGAGGGUCUUCCACUCUCUCAUCCCACUCACAGGAGCCCCGGAGGCCACAUACACAAGGGCCUCCUGCCUGAGUGCUGGGCUGAGAAUCAAAGACCUCGGUGUGGAUCCCUCACCAUCCCCAGCAUCAACUUGACGCCAACUGUGAUCACACUGACAUUCUCACCUAUAAGCUCAGGCCCGCUCAGAGUCAGAGCACUCCUGGAAAUCUACGCACGCUGACCCUGAAGCCUCAGACUUGUCCGGUGGGAUCGGAGAGCAUAGCCUGAACUUGAGGGGGUGUGCGCCGCCUUUGCUCAGCAGAUCAGAUUCUUGCUGUAGUUUGCCAUGUUGAAGAAAAGGGCCAGGCUCCUAACCCUUUUUCAUCAACACCUGCCCCUUCAUGAGAGCCAAAGAGCUAGCUCCUUAAGGCCUGCCAGCCACAGGCCUCUCGGCCUUGCCUCCACCCACCUGUUGUCCAGGUUGUGGGCUUAGGACAGCUUAUCACUCUCUCCCUGGAGAUGGGGAGAGGGGAGUCAGAAUGGAGAACCCGGAGUGUUCCAAGGUCAGUGUGUCGUUCAGGAGGGGUGGGGGGGCUGCGCAGAGAGACGCAUGGGUGUUCCUCAUUCCCAGCGCCCUUAAACUUGCUCUUUCCGACAAGACAAAGUAGAAUCCAAAACGGAGCCCAUCAUCCCCCAACGUGCUUCCCCUCCUGCCUUGUUAGUUUCCUCAGUUACUUAUGCAAGAAAUCUGAGUGGUCCUUGACCCUGCCCUCUCCCUAAUCCCAGCUGUUUGGAGGUAGUACUGCCUGGUGGUUAAGAGCAAGCUUUAGAGUAAAGCUUUAGAGUAAAACGGACCAGGAAUUGAAUCCUGGCUCUACUGCUUCCAGGCUGUGCACCAUCGGUCUAAGUUCGCUAAACCAAUAUAAGCUUCAGUUUCUUCAUGAGGUAAUGAGGAUAAUAUUCUGUACCUCACGGCAGUAUUAGGGUUCGUUAAGUUGUGUAUCAAGAGCUCUUAGCCCAGCGCUUGGCACAUGGUGAGUAUUCAAUACGAGCAUGAGUCCAUCAGUCAUGCAGCUCUGACAAUCUUUUUUUCCUUUGUUAAUUAAAAAAAUUUAUUUAUUUGGCUGCACCACGUCUUAGUUGUGGUACGCAGGAUCUUCGUUGCCAUGUAUGGGAUCUUCGUUGUGGCAUGCAGCUCUUCGUGGUGGCACGUGGCUCUUAGCUUGCGACCUGCAGGAUCUAGUUCCUUGACCAGGGAUGGAACUCAGGCCCCGUGCAUAGAGAGCAUGGAGUCUUAACCGCUGGACCACCAGGGAAGUCCCAGCCCUGACAAUCAUAACUAAAACUUUUCCUGAACCUGUCUGUUCCAUUCCUACUUCUUCUGCUCAGGCUCGCCCGUCUCCCAGACACCACACACUCUCCAACUCCAGGAGGACUCUACACCUCACAGGACAGAAGACCUUCAUGACC
Hippopotamus amphibius kiboko is the source of this 5087-nucleotide RNA transcript. It is a transcript of the gene named tubulin polymerization promoting protein family member 2, with no coding region annotated. NCBI's taxonomy places the organism in Eukaryota, Metazoa, Chordata, Mammalia, Artiodactyla, Hippopotamidae. The transcript has 8 exons. The record is from RefSeq and is a predicted model, not a curated record.